AAAAUGAAAAUGACGGGCAAUAUGUGCAUAUUUUAGAACUAAAUCAUUUAAAUAAAUUUAUUUAAAUUACUUUUAAAUCUAAUUUUUAAAUUAUUUUUCAUAAAUUUUUCCAUAAAUUAAAUUAUGAUAACCCAUUAAAUUCUUAAUUAUACUGCAUCUUGAUUUGAUAUAAAUUUUUAUUAAAAUUUUAAAAUUUUUUUCUGAAAAAAAUUUUUAUAACAACGAUAUACAAAUUUAACUAAAUUAAGUAAAAUUAAUCGUGGAAUAUCAAUUAAUAAAUAGGUUCCUCUAAUUAGAUUAAAAUACUGCCAAAUUCUUUAAGUUUUAAGAAUAUAACUUUUACUA
Molecule: ribosomal RNA, 345 nt
Filed under: Apatania helvetica
Lineage: Eukaryota; Metazoa; Arthropoda; Insecta; Trichoptera; Apataniidae
Description: partial small subunit ribosomal RNA
Source: RNAcentral